RNAcentral lists this ribosomal RNA (406 nucleotides) under uncultured bacterium. RNAcentral's name for it is "partial 16S ribosomal RNA". It matches the Rfam family "Bacterial small subunit ribosomal RNA", at positions 29 to 526 of the family's 1533-position model. The record is from RNAcentral.
AUUGAACGCUGGCGGCAGGACUAACACAUACAAGUCGAACGAGUGGCGGACGGGUGAGUAAAGACUGGGAAACUGCCUGAUGGAGGGGGAUAACUACUGGAAACGGUAGAUGAUACAGCAUAAAAUAGGAUGUGACCAGAUGGGAUUAGCUAGUAGGUGGGGUAAAGGCUCACCUAGGCGACGAACCCUAGCUGGUCUGAGAGGAUGACCAGCCACACUGGAACUGAGACACGGUCCAGACUCCUACGGGAGGCAGCAGUGGGGAAUAUUGCACAAUGGGCGCAAGCCUGAUGCAGCCAUGCCGCGUGUAUGAAGAAGGCCUUCGGGUUGUAAAGUACUUUCAGCGGGGAGGCGUUACCCGCAGAAGAAGCACCGGCUAACUCCGUGCCAGCAGCCGCGGUAAUAC